This 1946-nucleotide ribosomal RNA is filed under the name Escherichia coli. Its description in RNAcentral is "partial 23S ribosomal RNA". It matches the Rfam family "Bacterial large subunit ribosomal RNA", at positions 711 to 2640 of the family's 2925-position model. The record is from RNAcentral. Lineage: Bacteria; Pseudomonadati; Pseudomonadota; Gammaproteobacteria; Enterobacterales; Enterobacteriaceae.
AGACCCGAAACCCGGUGAUCUAGCCAUGGGCAGGUUGAAGGUUGGGUAACACUAACUGGAGGACCGAACCGACUAAUGUUGAAAAAUUAGCGGAUGACUUGUGGCUGGGGGUGAAAGGCCAAUCAAACCGGGAGAUAGCUGGUUCUCCCCGAAAGCUAUUUAGGUAGCGCCUCGUGAAUUCAUCUCCGGGGGUAGAGCACUGUUUCGGCAAGGGGGUCAUCCCGACUUACCAACCCGAUGCAAACUGCGAAUACCGGAGAAUGUUAUCACGGGAGACACACGGCGGGUGCUAACGUCCGUCGUGAAGAGGGAAACAACCCAGACCGCCAGCUAAGGUCCCAAAGUCAUGGUUAAGUGGGAAACGAUGUGGGAAGGCCCAGACAGCCAGGAUGUUGGCUUAGAAGCAGCCAUCAUUUAAAGAAAGCGUAAUAGCUCACUGGUCGAGUCGGCCUGCGCGGAAGAUGUAACGGGGCUAAACCAUGCACCGAAGCUGCGGCAGCGACACUGUGUGUUGUUGGGUAGGGGAGCGUUCUGUAAGCCUGUGAAGGUGUGCUGUGAGGCAUGCUGGAGGUAUCAGAAGUGCGAAUGCUGACAUAAGUAACGAUAAAGCGGGUGAAAAGCCCGCUCGCCGGAAGACCAAGGGUUCCUGUCCAACGUUAAUCGGGGCAGGGUGAGUCGACCCCUAAGGCGAGGCCGAAAGGCGUAGUCGAUGGGAAACAGGUUAAUAUUCCUGUACUUGGUGUUACUGCGAAGGGGGGACGGAGAAGGCUAUGUUGGCCGGGCGACGGUUGUCCCGGUUUAAGCGUGUAGGCUGGUUUUCCAGGCAAAUCCGGAAAAUCAAGGCUGAGGCGUGAUGACGAGGCACUACGGUGCUGAAGCAACAAAUGCCCUGCUUCCAGGAAAAGCCUCUAAGCAUCAGGUAACAUCAAAUCGUACCCCAAACCGACACAGGUGGUCAGGUAGAGAAUACCAAGGCGCUUGAGAGAACUCGGGUGAAGGAACUAGGCAAAAUGGUGCCGUAACUUCGGGAGAAGGCACGCUGAUAUGUAGGUGAAGUCCCUCGCGGAUGGAGCUGAAAUCAGUCGAAGAUACCAGCUGGCUGCAACUGUUUAUUAAAAACACAGCACUGUGCAAACACGAAAGUGGACGUAUACGGUGUGACGCCUGCCCGGUGCCGGAAGGUUAAUUGAUGGGGUCAGCGCAAGCGAAGCUCUUGAUCGAAGCCCCGGUAAACGGCGGCCGUAACUAUAACGGUCCUAAGGUAGCGAAAUUCCUUGUCGGGUAAGUUCCGACCUGCACGAAUGGCGUAAUGAUGGCCAGGCUGUCUCCACCCGAGACUCAGUGAAAUUGAACUCGCUGUGAAGAUGCAGUGUACCCGCGGCAAGACGGAAAGACCCCGUGAACCUUUACUAUAGCUUGACACUGAACAUUGAGCCUUGAUGUGUAGGAUAGGUGGGAGGCUUUGAAGUGUGGACGCCAGUCUGCAUGGAGCCGACCUUGAAAUACCACCCUUUAAUGUUUGAUGUUCUAACGUGGACCCGUGAUCCGGGUUGCGGACAGUGUCUGGUGGGUAGUUUGACUGGGGCGGUCUCCUCCUAAAGAGUAACGGAGGAGCACGAAGGUUGGCUAAUCCUGGUCGGACAUCAGGAGGUUAGUGCAAUGGCAUAAGCCAGCUUGACUGCGAGCGUGACGGCGCGAGCAGGUGCGAAAGCAGGUCAUAGUGAUCCGGUGGUUCUGAAUGGAAGGGCCAUCGCUCAACGGAUAAAAGGUACUCCGGGGAUAACAGGCUGAUACCGCCCAAGAGUUCAUAUCGACGGCGGUGUUUGGCACCUCGAUGUCGGCUCAUCACAUCCUGGGGCUGAAGUAGGUCCCAAGGGUAUGGCUGUUCGCCAUUUAAAGUGGUACGCGAGCUGGGUUUAGAACGUCGUGAGACAGUUCGGUCCCUA